UACAGAGGAUCCCGGAGCGUUGUUUCGGAAUUCACUGGGGCGUAAAAGGGUGCGUAGGUGGGCUUGGAAAGUUUGAAUGUGAAAGCUACAGGGCUUGAACCCUGAAAAUGGCAUUGAAUACUGACUGAGCUGGAGGUUUGGAGGGGGACUGGAAUUCGUUGGUGUAGCAGUGAAAUGCGUAGAUAUCAAGAGGAACACCAGUGGCGGAAGGCGAGUCCCUGGACAACACCUGACACUGAGGCACGAAAGCUAGGGGAGCAAACAGGG
RNAcentral lists this ribosomal RNA (267 nucleotides) under uncultured bacterium. RNAcentral's name for it is "partial 16S ribosomal RNA". It matches the Rfam family "Bacterial small subunit ribosomal RNA", at positions 524 to 777 of the family's 1533-position model. The record is from RNAcentral.